AAAAACAAAAACAAUGUAUUCAUAUUCGUCCACGCCUUUUCUGUUCAUUCUCCUUUUAUUAUGCCAUUACGUCUAUCCUGCAGUUGUUGGAAUGGAUUGCCAUCGCCAUGUUGACGCAUACCGUUCAAUUUCUUCUUAUUUUUUUUCUUUUUCAAUAACAUUUCGUCCUCUUCUUCAUCUUCAUUAAACUCUUUCAACAAACGCCGUUUCCUGGCUUCAUCGGCAAGACUACGAUCCACUGAAUUCAUUUCACCAGUCCAACUUUUCACUGAAGGUCCCAAAGCGCAGCCAGUGUAACUUUUCAAAUGUUUCAGCAAAUCAGCAUGAUUAUCGCUAAGGCUACUGCUACUGUUCGACCGCUGUUGCUUAAUGAGGGAGUUGCUUCGGCUCGACGAUUUUGAUGCAGAUACAUCCCGACUAGUGAAAAAUCGUUUUGGUUUUUCGGCAUGUUGCUUUGAAUGCUCUUCCUCCAUUUUCACAGAGAAGAUAUCUCUGCAAUCGUUGUCAUUAUCAUCAUCAUUAUCACUGGGAAGAUUACCAGCGCAUAAAUUCGACGAUUCAGCACCAUUCACACUGCUAAUUUUCUUUUCUGCAUUAACAUCCUCCUUGCAUUGGCUUUGAAGAGUUUUGAGCGUGAGCUCGCUCGGAGCCGCUGUUGGUGCAGAUCUUGGUGGUAGUAGCAAAUAUUCAAGUGAGAACCUUGAAGGCUGAAGUGGAGCAAGGUUCCAUGUGAACAGCAGUUGGACAUGGGUCAGUCGAUCCUAAGAAAACGGCGAAAGCUUGUUCGAAUUUGCGACAUGAAUUGUAAGACUGUGUGUGUUUAUUGUGUGUGCAGUUGUCGUAUGUUUUCGAAAGGGAAUCCGGUUGAUAUUCCGGAACCGAGUAACGGAGACAAAGAGUAGCGCUUUAAUCUCUCUGUGGGGUUGGCGUUCAACUCAAUCGCGCGGUAACGCAAGCGAACUCGGAAAAUGACCGUCGUGAGUUUCGAAAAGAGUUUUCUUUUCUUUUUAAGGGACGCAUUCCCUGGAACCGGGUUGUCCGGAGAUAGGGAUUCUGGUAUCCAUAAAACGCCGACUUUUUCACGGUGUUCGGAGCGCUCUCGUCGGUACGUGAAAAUCCGAGCGACGCCUGGUAAAUCUCGUACUUGGUCGUACUGAUAUCCGCAGCAGGUCUCCAAGGUGAAUAGCCUCUGGCCGAUAGAAUAAUGUAGGUAAGGGAAGUCGGCAAAACGGAUCCGUAACUUCGGAACAAGGAUUGGCUCUAAGGGCUGGGCCGAUCGGGCUGAGGUUUCAAGCGUGCAGUGUAUGCUUGGCUGAGUUGUGUUGAGGACUUGUUCACUUGCCGCCGUUUGUUCGGUUGGUCUAGUGUAUUCGAGUCUGAAGCAGAGCUGGCCGACAGACCGGCACGUGCAGAACCUGAGCUGCGCGGCUGUCCGUUUACGUGUACAGACCGUUUCGGUCGGCAUUCAACAGCCAACUUAGAACUGGCACGGACACAAGGAAUCUGACUGUAUAAUUAAAACAAAGCAUUGCGAUGGCCGAUGAUCGGUGAUGACGCAAUGUGAUUUCUGCCCAGUGCUCUGAAUGUCAAAGUGAAGAAAUUCAAUCAAGCGCGGGUAAACGGCGGGAGUAACUAUGACUCUCUUAAGGUAGCCAAAUGCCUCGUCAUCUAAUUAGUGACGCGUAUGAAUGGAUCAACAAGAUUCCUUCUGUCCCUAUCUACUAUCUAGCGAAACCACAGCCAAGGGAACGGGCUUGGCAAAAUCAGCGGGGAAAGAAGACCCUGUUGAGCUUGACUCUAGUCUGACUCUGUGAAGAGACAUGAAAGGUGUAGCAUAGGUGGGAGAUUGUCAAAUUGCCAUCGUUCGCGCGGUGGUCCGGUGAUCGCCAAUGAAAUACCACUACUUUGAUCGUUUCUUUACUUAUUCGGUAAAGCGAAAAAAUUGUGGCCAAUUUGGCGGUGUUUAUGUCGCUGUUGGUCAUUGUUUUCAUGUUAGAUUGAAGCUUUGUUUACAGCCGUCGCUUUGUGUCGCCAUUUGACGCAUUGUUGUACUGGGUUAUCCCGGUGUGUGGUGUAGUCAGUAUGGAUGAUCGGCGAUAGGUUUGAAGUGAUUCGCUCCGGAAACAGUGUCAGACGGGGAGUUUGACUGGGGCGGUACAUCUGUUAAACGAUAACGCAGGUGUCCUAAGGUAAGCUCAGCGAGGACAGAAACCUCGCUUAGAGUAAACGGGCACAAGCUUACUUGAUUUUGAUUUCCAGUACGAAUAGAAACCGCGAAAGCGUGGCCUAUCGAUCCUUUUGAUUGUGUAGAUUUCAUGCAAGAGGUGUCAGAAAAGUUACCACAGGGAUAACUGGCUUGUGGCAGCCAAGCGUCCAUAGCGACGUUGCUUUUUGAUCCUUCGAUGUCGGCUCUUCCUAUCAUUGCGAAGCAGAAUUCGCCAAGCGUUGGAUUGUUCACCCACCAAUAGGGAACGUGAGCUGGGUUUAGACCGUCGUGAGACAGGUUAGUUUUACCCUACUGAUGACAAGUCGUUGCGAUAGUAAUCCUGCUCAGUACGAGAGGAACCGCGGGAUCAGACAUUUGGUUCAUGCGCUCGGCUGAAAGGCCGGUGGCGCGAAGCUAGCAUCUGCAAGAUUAUGACUGAACGCCUCUAAGUCAGAAUCUUUUCUAGUCAUUGGCAACGAUAAGUUGCGUCCAGACUCGAUGCGAGGAAACGAUUAGGCUUUGCUAUACGGCGAAGCCAUUAUCAGACCACGGUAGCAGGCAGUAUGGGAUUGUUACGAAAAAGCAAUUUUUUGAAGUCAGUUGAAUUCAAUCAAACUGCUAACAAUUCCACUGCGAAUGACUCCAUUCGAAUCAAUCGAAGCACAGCGGUCAGGAUGUCGAACAUUUUGCAGACGACAAAAAUACCGGUUCAGGUGUCGUAAUCAGUAGAGCAGUCAACACACUGCGAUCUGAUGAGACUCAUCCUUGUAAUCGAUUUGCUCGUCGCGUGUACAUC
RNAcentral lists this ribosomal RNA (3002 nucleotides) under Trichinella sp. T8. Its description in RNAcentral is "eukaryotic LSU rRNA". It matches the Rfam family "Eukaryotic large subunit ribosomal RNA", at positions 427 to 3401 of the family's 3401-position model. Lineage: Eukaryota; Metazoa; Nematoda; Enoplea; Trichinellida; Trichinellidae. The record is from RNAcentral.